UCCGUCGUCAGGGAGACUGCGAACACGGGGUAAACCAAGGGGUAAACAAUCUGUGCGUGGAAUGGGGAGUGGUGAAUGCGCAAGGGCGAUGAUAGGCGCUGAUAUCCCGAAAGAAGAUAACAGCUUGUUUUCUUCACCGCCACCAGUCUACCUGCUCUCUGCACACUCGGCAGAGCGCGGCAGGGCACCCCACGGAGCUGCACUAGUCACAUCCGGGCCCCACGCCGGUCGACGGCCGAUGCGCCGCUGGGAGGCCUGCGGCGCGGACGACGGAUGCGGCAGUUGGUCAAGACACGGCAGCCUACUCGAGGUGCUUCUCGCCUGGAGGACGCAGGCGAAUCGCGUUAUCCGAGCUGUGCCUCGUCAUGGUGCGAUGAGCCUUAAUAGACUAAUGCAUAUUCUUCCUUUGGCUGUAAUUCAUUUGCUGCUGCCCGCUGGGCUAAGGAGUAACUCUGGGCGCCUACUUUGGGCAGACGCUCGUCCAGUGCCGCUCUUCGUUUGCCGCACAUAUCUUUAUUUAUUCUUUGUUACAAUUCCGUCUUUGGUCAUUUUUUUUUUACCAUGGGGGCACUUGAAAGUUUUGUUUUUAAAUCUGUGGACAUUGAACCUGGAAUCGGUUUUAUGUCGGAUUUCGGUUUUGUUUUUGCACUGUGGAAAUAUCUCGUUCAAUAUUUUUAAGAUAGGGCGUGCUAAAACUUUUAGUCUCAUUACUCCUCUGUGCAUCUAAAUUCUAAAGUACUAUAAUGUGCAUCUCAAGUGUUUGGUGCUGUACUGUUAUUAUUUAUGGUUAAUCCAGUGCUGUACUGUUAUUAUUUAUGGUUAAUCCAGUUUUUAUUCGAUUGAAUCGUUGUGUGUAGUGCAUGACAUCCGCGUACCGCCUGUAGCAGUGUUAUAUAUUUUCAUUUAUGCUGGAAAAUAAUAACUUUCUUGUUCAUUG
RNAcentral lists this long non-coding RNA (937 nucleotides) under Amphibalanus amphitrite. RNAcentral describes it as "uncharacterized LOC122376259, transcript variant X2". The record is from RNAcentral. Lineage: Eukaryota; Metazoa; Arthropoda; Thecostraca; Balanomorpha; Balanidae.